Molecule: non-coding RNA, 320 nt
Organism: Paramuricea clavata
Lineage: Eukaryota; Metazoa; Cnidaria; Anthozoa; Malacalcyonacea; Plexauridae
Source: the annotation of a GenBank genome assembly
GGGCAAAAAUUUGCAAUGAUGGAAGAAAAAGUCGUACUAGCUUCAAUUAUACGUCAUUUUCAUAUCAAGUCAACGCAGUUGACUGAGGAUAUCAAGAUAACUCCUGAAAUUAUUCUUAAGUCCACCAAUGGUGUUAUGGUGAAACUGGAAACGAGAAAUUUAUAGAGAUUUCUUUGCUCUGUACUCUGAUGAAAACAAAUAAAUGCAAACCUCGGUCAAAUACAUCCUCUGCUCAACGACACUUCGGUCAUGCCACUUCGGUCAACGACGCAUGGUCACCUAAAGUCGCAGUUCUUCGUUGUCUCGAGGGAUGACGUCAU